RNAcentral lists this ribosomal RNA (1372 nucleotides) under uncultured bacterium. RNAcentral's name for it is "bacterial SSU rRNA". It matches the Rfam family "Bacterial small subunit ribosomal RNA", at positions 28 to 1381 of the family's 1533-position model. The record is from RNAcentral.
GAUGAACGCUGGCGGCGUGCCUAAUACAUGCAAGUCGAGCGAACGGACGAGAAGCUUGCUUCUCUGAUGUUAGCGGCGGACGGGUGAGUAACACGUGGAUAACCUACCUAUAAGACUGGGAUAACUUCGGGAAACCGGAGCUAAUACCGGAUAAUAUUUUGAACCGCAUGGUUCAAAAGUGAAAGACGGUCUUGCUGUCACUUAUAGAUGGAUCCGCGCUGCAUUAGCUAGUUGGUAAGGUAACGGCUUACCAAGGCAACGAUGCAUAGCCGACCUGAGAGGGUGAUCGGCCACACUGGAACUGAGACACGGUCCAGACUCCUACGGGAGGCAGCAGUAGGGAAUCUUCCGCAAUGGGCGAAAGCCUGACGGAGCAACGCCGCGUGAGUGAUGAAGGUCUUCGGAUCGUAAAACUCUGUUAUUAGGGAAGAACAUAUGUGUAAGUAACUGUGCACAUCUUGACGGUACCUAAUCAGAAAGCCACGGCUAACUACGUGCCAGCAGCCGCGGUAAUACGUAGGUGGCAAGCGUUAUCCGGAAUUAUUGGGCGUAAAGCGCGCGUAGGCGGUUUUUUAAGUCUGAUGUGAAAGCCCACGGCUCAACCGUGGAGGGUCAUUGGAAACUGGAAAACUUGAGUGCAGAAGAGGAAAGUGGAAUUCCAUGUGUAGCGGUGAAAUGCGCAGAGAUAUGGAGGAACACCAGUGGCGAAGGCGACUUUCUGGUCUGUAACUGACGCUGAUGUGCGAAAGCGUGGGGAUCAAACAGGAUUAGAUACCCUGGUAGUCCACGCCGUAAACGAUGAGUGCUAAGUGUUAGGGGGUUUCCGCCCCUUAGUGCUGCAGCUAACGCAUUAAGCACUCCGCCUGGGGAGUACGACCGCAAGGUUGAAACUCAAAGGAAUUGACGGGGACCCGCACAAGCGGUGGAGCAUGUGGUUUAAUUCGAAGCAACGCGAAGAACCUUACCAAAUCUUGACAUCCUUUGACAACUCUAGAGAUAGAGCCUUCUCCUUCGGGGGACAAAGUGACAGGUGGUGCAUGGUUGUCGUCAGCUCGUGUCGUGAGAUGUUGGGUUAAGUCCCGCAACGAGCGCAACCCUUAAGCUUAGUUGCCAUCAUUAAGUUGGGCACUCUAAGUUGACUGCCGGUGACAAACCGGAGGAAGGUGGGGAUGACGUCAAAUCAUCAUGCCCCUUAUGAUUUGGGCUACACACGUGCUACAAUGGACAAUACAAAGGGUAGCGAAACCGCGAGGUCAAGCAAAUCCCAUAAAGUUGUUCUCAGUUCGGAUUGUAGUCUGCAACUCGACUACAUGAAGCUGGAAUCGCUAGUAAUCGUAGAUCAGCAUGCUACGGUGAAUACGUUCCCGGGUCU